RNAcentral lists this long non-coding RNA (737 nucleotides) under Gossypium barbadense (sea-island cotton). Its description in RNAcentral is "long non-coding RNA (GBAR_LNC021798)". The record is from RNAcentral. Lineage: Eukaryota; Viridiplantae; Streptophyta; Magnoliopsida; Malvales; Malvaceae.
CAACGGCAACCGCAAGGACUGCUUUCUCCCCCUCUCUGCUCCUCACCGAAACCUCCUCCCUUUUCAACUCCGAUUCAGACGAAACGCAACAAGGGCAUCGACGACGCGCCACUACUAGUAAGAACCUCUCCUCUUCCACAUCGUUUAUUUAUUUUAAGAAACAAGUAAAAGAAAACAAAAAAACAGAACCAAAUAAAAAAAACAACAAGGGUGACGUGGGGCGGAAGCGGUUGCUGCGGUGCCAAGGCUAGGAAGAAGGCUGCUGUUGAAGACUCUAGGUUUCCAAAUUUUUCAGUUUCGGGCUGAUUUGGAUUGUAGGGUAAUCGGGCUACAUCCAUGUAAAAAUGGACUAUUUACUAUUUUAUUUGGGCUUAUUUUUGGUUUGUAAUAUGGAUAUUAUUUGAAUUUGUUCUGUUUUCUGCUUAUGCGGGCCCGGGCCCAAAAUUGAGUAUUAUAGUGUUGAUUGAGCUAUAGCCCGUUCGAUAUUAAUAUUGUUGUUAAUGUAAGAAAAUAUAAGUUUGAGUGUUCUAAAGUGUAUUAUACUUUAGAAAAAGUUAUAAAUAAUUCUAAAUUUAAUAUGAAAGAGCAAAAAUUAUAACAAACAAAAAAAUAGUUGUGGGUGUUAGUGAAUGAAUAAAGGUAGGUGAUGGGAAUUGAAAGAGGUGUCGAGAGAGAGUGAAGAAUGAAAGUCAGUAAAUGGACGGUGGGUUCAAUUAAUACCCCUCUCCCUGUUUUUG